CUUCUGGGCGAGCAGGUGCGAGGCGCGCGCCAUGGAACGGCCCUUAGCUGAGUUUCGGUUUGCGCGCAAACUGCCUGCCUGGCGGCCCAACGCAGCGUUUCCAGCCGGGACGCACAAACCUCGGGAGAGAAGGUGGAAGCCGCAGCGACUCUAAAGGCAGCCCCCGGCUGACUAAAGCUGUUCUUGGCCUGUCAUACUUUCUCCUUCCUAGGAAAUUGCUGAUGGUUCAAGUAAAGACUCUGAAGCAGUCUCAGGGUUAUACUACUUGGUAGUAAAAGUCAAGUCUUCAUUAUCUAGUUUACGGCAUGAAUCAACACACAGAUCUUUGAAAUACUUAAUGCAGAUUCGUCAGAACUCCCUGAAUCUUCUACACUUGCUCCUCCUUUUUUCAAACUUGCAUUCUUAGAUGCUUCUGGAUCGUCAUUUUGAAGACCAUUUUCAAGUAUCUUUUUUUAUGUUGCAAAAUUUGUUGUUGAAUGCUAGUCAAAGCACCAGAAAUUGCAUAAUUGUUUGCUGUCUGUACAUACAUAUUUUGAAUAAAGACAGUAAUAUUUUGUUGAAGAAUGCCGACUAUACCUAAUGAGCCAUAAUGUACAGCAGGCAUGAGGACUGUUCCUCCCAACCUAUCAACAGCAUGUACAUUUGCUUGUCACCAAAAAUUCCAGCAUUUGCUGUCUUUUGCAAACUGCAGCAAGUAAACGUGGUGUGUUUCCAUCAUUGUUCAGCACUUCAAUAUCCAUAUCACGGGAAAGUAGUUUUUCUACCAGGAAUGUACUCUCAUUAUAGGACAGCACAGUGGAGAGCAGUGUUGCCGUAGAUAUCCACGUUCCGGCAGAAUGAUGCCACAAAUCUCUUCCUGGCGAUGUACAACCUUCUCAAAGACGUCCCAUUUUGUUUGUCACCAAUGUCAAUGUGGUAUUUUCAGUUCACCAGGAGAGUCCCCACUUCCACAUGGCCAUUGGCACAGGCCAAAUGUACAGCAGCCCUGUCCAUCCACAGCUGAAGGGAUAAAGAAACUGCCAUACAGAUACACACAGAAUAUGCUUCAGUCAUAAAGCUUUAGGAAAUCCUGUCAUCCACAGCCACAUGGAGAAACCCAGAGGACAUUAGGUCCAAGAAAAUGAGCCUGGUGGAGAAAGUCCCACACUGCAUGAUCUCAGGCAUGUGGACUCCUAAAAGCUUUAUCUACUGCCCGUCCACAGAUGAAGGGAUCAAGAAACUCUAAUAUAUAUUCACAAAGAGAUAGUCUUUGGCCAUCAAGAUAAUUAAAGGAUGUCAUCUGGAGGAACACAGACGGCCCGCCGAGGCUGCAGCUGCCUUGUCCUGCACUGUGGAUGGAAGCCACUGUUCUGACAAGAGGCUGAGCUUAGGUGGUAAUGCUUGCUACUGCUGUGCAACCAGGUUCCUGACAGGCCCGGGACGAUACUGGUCCAGGGGUGGGGGACCCCUGCUCCAGAUGACAGCCAGAGUAGUCUUAAAUGACCUUGUGCUGUGCACGAAGGUGGUAUGCAAUCAGAAGACGUCUGAGGAGACAAGUAUGCGUCUCCCACCACAACAUUAUGUGAUGCUUGGAGUAAAAACAGUCAUCCCUGUUCCUACCUACAAUUGUAUUAUUCAAUAAAGAUUGCUGCCAGACAUGGUGGCUCAUACCUGUAGUCCUACCAUUUUGGGAGGCCGAGGCCGGGCAGAUCGCUUGAGACCAGGAUUUGAGACUAGCCUGGACAACAUGGUGAGCCCCCAUCUCUGCAGAAAUAAAAUAAAAUAAAAUUAGCCAGGUGUGGUGGCCUGUGCCUAUAGCCUCAGUUACUUGGGAGGCUGAGGCAGGAGAAUAGCUUGAGCCCUGGAGGUCCAGGCAACAGUGAGCCAUGAUGGCAGCACUGCACUCCAAAUUGGGUGACAGAGUGAGACCCUGUCAAAAAAAAAAAAAAAA
Long non-coding RNA from Macaca mulatta (Rhesus monkey), 1930 nucleotides. NCBI's taxonomy places the organism in Eukaryota, Metazoa, Chordata, Mammalia, Primates, Cercopithecidae. The record is from Ensembl.